UGGCUUUGGGGCAUGCUUAACAUGCAGUCGAACGGCAGCACGGGUGCUUGCACCUGGUGGCGAGUGGCGAACGGGUGAGUAAUACAUCGGAACAUGUCCUGUAGUGGGGGAUAGCCCGGCGAAAGCCGGAUUAAUACCGCAUACGAUCUAAGGAUGAAAGCGGGGGACCUUCGGGCCUCGCGCUAUAGGGUUGGCCGAUGGCUGAUUAGCUAGUUGGUGGGGUAAAGGCCUACCAAGGCGACGAUCAGUAGCUGGUCUGAGAGGACGACCAGCCACACUGGGACUGAGACACGGCCCAGACUCCUACGGGAGGCAGCAGUGGGGAAUUUUGGACAAUGGGCGAAAGCCUGAUCCAGCAAUGCCGCGUGUGUGAAGAAGGCCUUCGGGUUGUAAAGCACUUUUGUCCGGAAAGAAAUCCCUGGUCCUAAUAUGGCCGGGGGAUGACGGUACCGGAAGAAUAAGCACCGGCUAACUACGUGCCAGCAGCCGCGGUAAUACGUAGGGUGCGAGCGUUAAUCGGAAUUACUGGGCGUAAAGCGUGCGCAGGCGGUUUGUUAAGACCGAUGUGAAAUCCCCGGGCUCAACCUGGGAACUGCAUUGGUGACUGGCAAGCUAGAGUAUGGCAGAGGGGGGUAGAAUUCCACGUGUAGCAGUGAAAUGCGUAGAGAUGUGGAGGAAUACCGAUGGCGAAGGCAGCCCCCUGGGCCAAUACUGACGCUCAUGCACGAAAGCGUGGGGAGCAAACAGGAUAAAACCCCCCGGGUAAAAAA
This 770-nucleotide ribosomal RNA is filed under the name bacterium. RNAcentral describes it as "bacterial SSU rRNA". It matches the Rfam family "Bacterial small subunit ribosomal RNA", at positions 33 to 795 of the family's 1533-position model. The record is from RNAcentral.